This 279-nucleotide long non-coding RNA is filed under the name Physcomitrium patens. RNAcentral's name for it is "long non-coding RNA (PPAT_LNC001827)". The record is from RNAcentral. Lineage: Eukaryota; Viridiplantae; Streptophyta; Bryopsida; Funariales; Funariaceae.
UGAGGGUUUGUAUUGAUAAUUUGGAUUUUAUGUAAUAUAAUUAUGGCUAGCAAUUUUAGUUAAUUUGUGCAAUUGGUAUAGUAUCUAUAGUUCAAAAUUUGAUAUUAUUUUGAUUAUUGGGUGUACUAAGUAUAUGCAAAAUUUUGUGGUAAUCUAAUGGUGUGGUUUAGAGAUAUCUAGUUUUUAGCACGAGGAUUUCAGAAGUUGGUAAUUUGAGGUUUGGUAGGAUUUUUGUGAUAUCUAGAAAUCUACUAGUUGGAUCAAGGUGAAAUUUAGCAU